ACUUAAGUAGCUUAUAUAAAGUUUGACAUUGAAGCUGUUAAGAAGGUCUUUUGACCCUUAGGUA
Molecule: transfer RNA, 64 nt
Filed under: Cordulia aenea (downy emerald)
Lineage: Eukaryota; Metazoa; Arthropoda; Insecta; Odonata; Corduliidae
Description: tRNA-Phe
Source: RNAcentral